UGCGGGGUGGAGCAGCUUGGUAGCUCGUCGGGCUCAUAACCCGAAGGUCGUCGGUUCAAAUCCGGCUCCCGCAACCA
Molecule: transfer RNA, 77 nt
Filed under: Glaesserella parasuis
Lineage: Bacteria; Pseudomonadati; Pseudomonadota; Gammaproteobacteria; Pasteurellales; Pasteurellaceae
Description: tRNA-Met
Rfam family: tRNA
About the family: Transfer RNA (tRNA) molecules are approximately 80 nucleotides in length. Their secondary structure includes four short double-helical elements and three loops (D, anti-codon, and T loops).
Source: RNAcentral